Molecule: ribosomal RNA, 440 nt
Filed under: uncultured bacterium
Lineage: Bacteria
Description: partial 16S ribosomal RNA
Rfam family: Bacterial small subunit ribosomal RNA
Source: RNAcentral
CCUACGGGUGGCAGCAGUAGGGAAUAUUGCUCAAUGGGGGAAACCCUGAAGCAGCCAAGCCGCGUGGAGGAUGAAUGUUUUCGGAUUGUAAACUCCUUUUUUUAGAGAAGUUAAUUACGGUAUCUAACGAAUAAGCACCGGCUAACUCCGUGCCAGCAGCCGCGGUAAUACGGAGGGUGCAAGCGUUAUUCGGAAUCACUGGGCGUAAAGAGCGCGUAGGUGGGUUAGCAAGUCAGAUGUGAAAUCCUAUGGCUUAACCAUAGAACUGCAAUUGAAACUGUUAUUCUAGAGUAUAGGAGAGGUAGGUGGAAUUCUUGGUGUAGGGGUAAAAUCCGUAGAUAUCAAGAAGAAUUCUCAUUGCGAAGGCGACCUGCUAGAACAUCACUGACGCUGAUGCGCGAAAGUGUGGGUAGCAAACAGGAUUAGAUACCCCAGUAGUC